This 497-nucleotide ribosomal RNA is filed under the name uncultured bacterium. RNAcentral describes it as "partial 16S ribosomal RNA". It matches the Rfam family "Bacterial small subunit ribosomal RNA", at positions 28 to 507 of the family's 1533-position model. The record is from RNAcentral.
GAUGAACGCUGGCGGCAUGCCUAACACAUGCAAGUCGAACGAACACACGAGGAGCUCUCGCCCCUGACGGUGGCGGCUGGCGGGUGGGUAACACGUGGAUCGCCUACCUCUAAGACUUGGGUAAUAACGUGGAACAAGAUCUACUACCGCAGCAUAUAUCGAACCGCUUGGAGCAAUAGUGCAAGGCGCUUUUCCUGUCUCUUAUAGCUGAAUUCGCGUUGCAUUAGCUAGUUGGUAAGGUAACGGCAUACCAAGGAUACGAUGCGUAGCCGACCUGAGAGGGUGAUCGGCCACACUGGAACUGAGACACGGUCCAGACUCCUACGGGAGGCAGCAGUGGGGAAUCUUCCACAAUGGGCGAAAGCCUGAUCGAGCAAUACCGCGUGAGUGAUGAAGGUCUUCGGGUGGUAAAGCUCUGUUGUUGGGAAAGAAAAAAAGUGUAUGUAACCCCGCCGGUUUUGACGGUACCUAAAGAAUAAGCACCGGCUAACUACGUG